This 24-nucleotide non-coding RNA is filed under the name Arabidopsis thaliana (thale cress). The record is from RNAcentral. Lineage: Eukaryota; Viridiplantae; Streptophyta; Magnoliopsida; Brassicales; Brassicaceae.
AAGCUUCCAACUCAAAACCAAUUG